This 159-nucleotide ribosomal RNA is filed under the name Rinodina jamesii. RNAcentral describes it as "5.8S ribosomal RNA". It matches the Rfam family "5.8S ribosomal RNA". From Rfam's summary of the family: 5.8S ribosomal RNA (5.8S rRNA) is a component of the large subunit of the eukaryotic ribosome. It is transcribed by RNA polymerase I as part of the 45S precursor that also contains 18S and 28S rRNA. RNAcentral also lists the same sequence under 1 other name. Lineage: Eukaryota; Fungi; Ascomycota; Lecanoromycetes; Caliciales; Physciaceae. The record is from RNAcentral.
AAAACUUUCAACAACGGAUCUCUUGGUUCCAGCAUCGAUGAAGAACGCAGCGAAAUGCGAAAAGUAAUGUGAAUUGCAGAAUUCCGUGAAUCAUCGAAUCUUUGAACGCACAUUGCGCCCCUUGGUAUUCCGAGGGGCAUGCCUGUUCGAGCGUCAUUG